AAACCAACAGGGAUUGCCUUAGUAGCGGCGAGUGAAGCGGCAAAAGCUCAAAUUUGAAAUCUGGCACCUUCGGUGUCCGAGUUGUAAUUUGAAGAUUGUAACCUUGGGGUUGGCUCUUGUCUAUGUUUCUUGGAACAGGACGUCACAGAGGGUGAGAAUCCCGUGCGAUGAGAUGCCCAAUCCUAUGUAAGGUGCUUUCGAAGAGUCGAGUUGUUUGGGAAUGCAGCUCUAAGUGGGUGGUAAAUUCCAUCUAAAGCUAAAUAUUGGCGAGAGACCGAUAGCGAACAAGUACAGUGAUGGAAAGAUGAAAAGAACUUUGAAAAGAGAGUGAAAAAGUACGUGAAAUUGUUGAAAGGGAAGGGUUUGAGAUCAGACUCGAUAUUUUGUGAGCCUUGCCUUCGUGGCGGGGUGACCCGCAGCUUAUCGGGUCAGCAUCGGUUUGGGCGGUAGGAUAAUGGCGUAGGAAUGUGACUUUGCUUCGGUGAAGUGUUAUAGCCUGCGUUGAUGCUGCCUGCCUAGACCGAGGACUGCGAUUUUAUCAAGGAUGCUGGCAUAAUGAUCCCAAACCGC
RNAcentral lists this ribosomal RNA (570 nucleotides) under Meyerozyma guilliermondii. Its description in RNAcentral is "LSU rRNA". It matches the Rfam family "Eukaryotic large subunit ribosomal RNA", at positions 62 to 648 of the family's 3401-position model. Lineage: Eukaryota; Fungi; Ascomycota; Pichiomycetes; Serinales; Debaryomycetaceae. The record is from RNAcentral.